This 485-nucleotide ribosomal RNA is filed under the name uncultured bacterium. RNAcentral describes it as "partial 16S ribosomal RNA". It matches the Rfam family "Bacterial small subunit ribosomal RNA", at positions 29 to 523 of the family's 1533-position model. The record is from RNAcentral.
AGUGAACGCUGGCGGCGUGCUUAACACAUGCAAGUCGAACGAGAACGGGAUAUAGCUUGCUAUAUUUGUCAGCUAAGUGGCGCACGGGUGUGUAAUGUAUAGAUAACCUGCCCUCUAAAAAGGAAUAACAGUUGGAAACGACUGCUAAUGCCCUAUAUGCCUUUAAUACAUAAGUAUGCAAGGGAAACGCUUUAGUGCUAGAGGAUGGGUCUGUAUGGUAUCAGCUUGUUGGUGAGGUAAUGGCUCACCAAGGCUAUGACGCCUAACUGGUUUGAGAGGAUGAUCAGUCACACUGGAACUGAGACACGGUCCAGACUCCUACGGGAGGCAGCAGUGGGGAAUAUUGCACAAUGGACGAAAGUCUGAUGCAGCAACGCCGCGUGGAGGAUGACACAUUUCGGUGCGUAAACUCCUUUUAUAUAGGAAGAUAAUGACGGUACUAUAUGAAUAAGCACCGGCUAACUCCGUGCCAGCAGCCGCAGUAA